Molecule: non-coding RNA, 31 nt
Filed under: Homo sapiens (human)
Lineage: Eukaryota; Metazoa; Chordata; Mammalia; Primates; Hominidae
Source: RNAcentral
GCUAAGUGUAGUCUGAGCCUGGUGCACCCCC